GAUGAACGCUAGCUACAGGCUUAACACAUGCAAGUCGAGGGGCAGCAUCAUCAAAGCUUGCUUUGAUGGAUGGCGACCGGCGCACGGGUGAGUAACACGUAUCCAACCUGCCGACAACACUGGGAUAGCCUUUCGAAAGAAAGAUUAAUACCGGAUGGCAUAGUUUUCCCGCAUGGGAUAAUUAUUAAAGAAUUUCGGUUGUCGAUGGGGAUGCGUUCCAUUAGGCAGUUGGCGGGGUAACGGCCCACCAAACCAACGAUGGAUAGGGGUUCUGAGAGGAAGGUCCCCCACAUUGGAACUGAGACACGGUCCAAACUCCUACGGGAGGCAGCAGUGAGGAAUAUUGGUCAAUGGACGAGAGUCUGAACCAGCCAAGUAGCGUGAAGGAUGACUGCCCUAUGGGUUGUAAACUUCUUUUAUACGGGAAUAAAGUGAGCCACGUGUGGCUUUUUGUAUGUACCGUAUGAAUAAGGAUCGGCUAACUCCGUGCCAGCAGCCGCGGUAAUACGGAGGAUCCGAGCGUUAUCCGGAUUUAUUGGGUUUAAAGGGAGCGUAGGCGGGUUGUUAAGUCAGUUGUGAAAGUUUGCGGCUCAACCGUAAAAUUGCAGUUGAUACUGGCGACCUUGAGUGCAACAGAGGUAGGCGGAAUUCGUGGUGUAGCGGUGAAAUGCUUAGAUAUCACGAAGAACUCCGAUUGCGAAGGCAGCUUACUGGAUUGUAACUGACGCUGAUGCUCGAAAGUGUGGGUAUCAAACAGGAUUAGAUACCCUGGUAGUCCACACAGUAAACGAUGAAUACUCGCUGUUGGCGAUAUACAGUCAGCGGCCAAGCGAAAGCAUUAAGUAUUCCACCUGGGGAGUACGCCGGCAACGGUGAAACUCAAAGGAAUUGACGGGGGCCCGCACAAGCGGAGGAACAUGUGGUUUAAUUCGAUGAUACGCGAGGAACCUUACCCGGGCUUAAAUUGCAACUGACUGAACCGGAAACGGUUCUUUCUUCGGACAGUUGUGAAGGUGCUGCAUGGUUGUCGUCAGCUCGUGCCGUGAGGUGUCGGCUUAAGUGCCAUAACGAGCGCAACCCUUACGGGUAGUUACCAUCAGGUUAUGCUGGGGACUCUACCCGGACUGCCGUCGUAAGAUGUGAGGAAGGUGGGGAUGACGUCAAAUCAGCACGGCCCUUACGUCCGGGGCUACACACGUGUUACAAUGGGGGGUACAGAAGGCAGCUACACGGCGACGUGGUGCUAAUCCCGAAAGCCUCUCUCAGUUCGGAUUGGAGUUCUGCAACCCGACUCCAUGAAGCUGGAUUCGCUAGUAAUCGCGCAUCAGCCACGGCGCGGUGAAUACGUUCCCGGGCCU
RNAcentral lists this ribosomal RNA (1358 nucleotides) under uncultured bacterium. RNAcentral describes it as "bacterial SSU rRNA". It matches the Rfam family "Bacterial small subunit ribosomal RNA", at positions 28 to 1381 of the family's 1533-position model. The record is from RNAcentral.